Molecule: ribosomal RNA, 278 nt
Filed under: Acinetobacter sp. SE0805
Lineage: Bacteria; Pseudomonadati; Pseudomonadota; Gammaproteobacteria; Moraxellales; Moraxellaceae
Description: partial 16S ribosomal RNA
Rfam family: Bacterial small subunit ribosomal RNA
Source: RNAcentral
GCUAAUACCGCAUACGCCCUACGGGGGAAAGCAGGGGAUCUUCGGACCUUGCGCUAAUAGAUGAGCCUAAGUCAGAUUAGCUAGUUGGUGGGGUAAAGGCCUACCAAGGCGACGAUCUGUAGCGGGUCUGAGAGGAUGAUCCGCCACACUGGGACUGAGACACGGCCCAGACUCCUACGGGAGGCAGCAGUGGGGAAUAUUGGACAAUGGGCGAAAGCCUGAUCCAGCCAUGCCGCGUGUGUGAAGAAGGCCUUUUGGUUGUAAAGCACUUUAAGCGA